CGAGCGAUGAUCCAACGAUAGCAAUAUUGGAGGGGAUUAGCGGCGAACGGGUGAGUAACACGUAGGAAUCUGCCCUGAAGUUCGGAGUAGCCCGGUGAGAGUCGGGAUAAUACCGGAUGUGAUCUUCGGAUUAAAGGCUUCGGCCGCUUCAGGAUGAGCCUGCGCUCCAUCAGCUUGUUGGUAGGGUAAAAGCCUACCAAGGCGAGGACGGAUAGCUGGUCUGAGAGGACGGCCAGCCACAAUGGAACUGAGACACGGUCCAUACACCUACGGGUGGCAGCAGUCGAGAAUCAUUCACAAUGGGCGAAAGCCUGAUGGUGCGACGCCGCGUGGGGGAUGAAGGCCUUCGGGUCGUAAACCCCUGUCGGUUGCGAGUAAGGCCCGGCUUACGUCGGGAUUGAUAUUAGCAACAAAGGAAGGGGCGGCUAACUCCGUGCCAGCAGCCGCGGUAAUACGGAGGCCCCAAGCGUUGUUCGGAUUUACUGGGCGUAAAGCGUGCGUAGGCGGCGAGGUAAGUUUGGCGUGAAAGCCCCGGGCCCAACCCGGGAAAUGCGCUGAAAACUACUUCACUAGAGGUGUGGAGGGGAGUCUGGAAUUCCUGGUGUAGCAGUGAAAUGCGUAGAUAUCAGGAGGAACAUCAGUGGCGAAGGCGAGACUCUGGAAACAUUCUGACGCUGAGGUACGAAGGCUAGGGUAGCGAAGAGGAUUAGAUACCCUCGUAGUCCUAGCAGUAAACGGUGUGCACUUGCUGUGGGGGGAUUCGACCCCUUCCGUGGCGAAGCUAACGCAUUAAGUGCACCGCCUGGGGAGUACGGCCGCAAGGUUAAAACUCAAGAAAUUGACGGGGGCCUGCACAAGCGGUGGAGCAUGUGCUUACUUCGAUGCAACGCGAAGACCUUACCUGGGCUUGACAUGUUUGUCGUACCUGGGUGAAAGCUCGGGGUCAGUUCGGCUGGACAA
RNAcentral lists this ribosomal RNA (960 nucleotides) under uncultured bacterium. RNAcentral's name for it is "bacterial SSU rRNA". It matches the Rfam family "Bacterial small subunit ribosomal RNA", at positions 63 to 1030 of the family's 1533-position model. The record is from RNAcentral.